CCUGCCGGAGNUUACUGCUAUCGGAGUUCGAUUAANCCAUGCGAGUCUAAAGGUUUCUUCGGAAGCCUUGGCGGACUGCUCAGUAACACGUGGAUAACCUNCCCUUGGGACUGGAAUAACCCCGGGAAACUGGGGAUAAUACCGGAUAGAUCAGGGAUGCUGGAAUGCACCUUGAUCCAAAGNUCCGGCGCCCAAGGAUGGGUCUGCGGCCUAUCAGGUAGUAGUGGGUGUAACGUACCUACUAGCCAACGACGGGUACGGGUUGUGAGAGCAAGAGCCCGGAGAUGGAUUCUGAGACACGAAUCCAGGCCCUACGGGGUGCAGCAGGCGCGAAACCUUUACAAUGUGCGAAAGCAUGAUAAGGGAACUCCGAGUGCCAGUAUCUAAUACUGGCUGUCCUUGUGCCUAAAACGCACAAGAUAGCAAGGGCCGGGUAAGACCGGUGCCAGCCGCCGCGGUAACACCGGCGGCCCGAGUGGUAGCCGCUAUUAUUGGGUCUAAAGGGUCCGUAGCCGGUUCGAUAAGUCCUCUGGGAAAUCUGGUUGCUUAACAAUCAGACUGCCAAGGGAUACUGUCGAACUUGAGACCGGGAGAGGUAAGAGGUACUUCAGGGGUAGGAGUGAAAUCUUGUAAUCCCUGGGGGACCAUCUGUGGCGAAGGCGUCUUACCAGAACGGGUCUGACGGUGAGGGACGAAAGCUGGGGGCGCAAACCGGAUUAGAUACCCGGGUAGUCCCAGCCGUAAACGAUGCUCGCUAUGUGUCAGGUACGGUGUGACCGUAUCUGGUGCCGUAGGGAAGCCGUGAAGCGAGCCACCUGGGAAGUACGGUCGCAAGACUGAAACUUAAAGGAAUUGGCGGG
This 860-nucleotide ribosomal RNA is filed under the name uncultured archaeon. RNAcentral's name for it is "bacterial SSU rRNA". It matches the Rfam family "Archaeal small subunit ribosomal RNA", at positions 13 to 872 of the family's 1478-position model. The record is from RNAcentral.